GUCGAACGCUGGCGGCGUGCUUAACACAUGCAAGUCGAACGGUAAGGCCCUGCUUUUGUGGGGUGCUCGAGUGGCGAACGGGUGAGUAACACGUGAGUAACCUGCCCUUGACUUUGGGAUAACUUCAGGAAACUGGGGCUAAUAUCGGAUAGGAGCUCCUGCUGCAUGGUGGGGGUUGGAAAGUUUCGGCGGUUGGGGAUGGACUCGCGGCUUAUCAGCUUGUUGGUGGGGUAGUGGCUUACCAAGGCUUUGACGGGUAGCCGGCCUGAGAGGGUGACCGGCCACAUUGGGACUGAGAUACGGCCCAGACUCCUACGGGGGGCAGCAGUGGGGAAUAUUGCACAAUGGGCGGGAGCCUGAUGCAGCAACGCCGCGGGCGGGAUGACGGCCUUCGGGUUGUAAACCGCUUUCGCCUGUGACGAAGCGUGAGUGACGGUAAUGGGUAAAGAAGCACCGGCUAACUACGUG
RNAcentral lists this ribosomal RNA (468 nucleotides) under uncultured bacterium. Its description in RNAcentral is "partial 16S ribosomal RNA". It matches the Rfam family "Bacterial small subunit ribosomal RNA", at positions 28 to 507 of the family's 1533-position model. The record is from RNAcentral.